GUAAUUAUUUUUAUACAAUUUUUAAUGAUUUUCCCAAUUCAGAAUAGGGAAUUCCAAAAUCAAUCUGACAUUGUCUCACAAAAAUUCAAAUUCAUACCAAAUUAGUCAAAUCCUAUUUUAUACCAUAGCCAAAUCUAAAUUUAUUUAUUUCAUCCUUACAUUUACAAUUUCAAAAUGACAUACACAUAGGACAUCCUAGGUACAUGCCAUUACCAAUAAUUAACACACUUUACCUUAAUAAAUUUGGGAUCGAACUGGGAUGCUGAUUCAACGUUCUAUCUUUACUAAACCUGCGCACGGAAACAAACCGUACGCUGAGUAUGGUAUACUCAGUGGUAUUUCUAUAAUCCGAACGCUUGAUAAUAUAACAAUUAAACUUAAAAUCACAAUGAUAAAUAUAACCAUUCAUUUAUUUAUUUUAUAGAUAAGUUUCAUUUACUUACCAUAAAAAUUCUAUACAAGCCAUAUAACAAACACAACAACAUAUUUGCUCAAUUCUUUUCAUUUGCUUCCUGUAUAAAUUCUUUACAAUAUAUUCACAAUUCACUUGUAUUCACACUUUACUUCUUAACAAUAUACCAUUUUAAUUCAUUAUAACAUCAAUCAUCAUCCAUUUGAACUUCACUCAUUUCAUGAACCUUUUGGUUCAUAUUUUCAAUCUUAUAUCUCAAUUUCAAUUCUCAAUUCAAUUUCUCAUUUCAUUCCAAUAGUUCAAUCAAUCAAAUUCACUCGAUUUAUCUUUUCACUUAUUUACCCCUAUUAACAAACCCGGACUUUGACGGAUACACGGAUUCCAACCCAAACACACCAGUACAGCACAUUGUGCCUAAAACGGUACAUAGUACCUUAUCAGUAUACGACACAUAAAGUGCCUAAAACGACACACGAGGUGCCUGAUACGACACACGAGGUGCCUGAAAUACGACACAUAAAGUGCCUAAUCGGUAAAGCCGACAAAUCCCGUACACUUUCAGAUCCUAUGGCAUGCCAAUUAUAUCCGACUUAGCCCGACUAGUUAAUAGGGUAUUUCAUUCACUUUCUCAAUUUAAUAAUUCUUUCAUCAAUAUCUCAUUCAGAUAUUACAUAUUUACCCAUUUUCACAAUUCAUACAAUUUUAUUCAAUUCAACAAUAUAUUUCAACUAUUCACAUUAAUUCAUAAUUCAAUACAAUUCAAUUCAUUUUUCAAUAUCAAAUAUUCAAAUUUCUACAUAAAUCAUAUAUAUUAUAUAAUUCAAUCAAUAUAAAUUCAAUCAAAAUAAUUUCAAUCAAUAUAAAUUUAAUAAAACAUAUAUUCAUAAAUCAAUUCAAUAUAAAUUUAUCAAAUACUAAAUCAAUUCAUUUCAAUUAUAAAGACAGAAUACAAAUAAUUCCCAUCUUAAUUAUUUAUCAUAAUAUUUAUCCAAAAUUCAAUUAUCAUAAUUGCAUAAUAUCUCAUUCACACACACACACACACACACACACACACAUAUAUAUAUUUAUAAUAUAUAAUUCAAUUUAAUUCAAUCAAUUUAAAUUCAUCACAUACCAAAUUAAUCCAUUUCCAUUAUAAACACAAUAAUUCUCACUUCAACAUUUAUUAAAUGCAUUGAAUAAAAAAAAUAUAACAAUUAAUAACUAGGUUCGGAUUAUAGAAAUACAAACCGUAUUUUCUCGAGCUAACUUCCUUUGUCUUUGCCAUUUUUUUCCUUGCUUAGCCGAGGUUUCCCGAGACAACAUUAGCUACGGGAAUUAAAACAAUUCAUAUUCGUUAAUUCACUACUAAUUUAUAUCUAAUUAAUACAAUUUUUAUUCAAUUUCUACUUUAAUUUCAAUUUAAUCUUAACUAGAUUCACUUACUUUUUCUAUCUCAAUUCAUACUUCAUUUCUAUUCAAAUUUUGUCCAAACUCAUACUUAACUAUUAAAUUUCCAACAUAUUUUCAUAAUUUCGAAUUUAUUUCCAUUUAAUCCCUAAAACUCAAAACUUAUAGCUUAGUUUACGAUUCAAUCCUUUAUUCAAUUCCAAUCAAAAUUUCUAUCAAAUAAACCCCCAAUUCCAUCAUUUUAUUCAACAUGAACCAUAUUUAUAAAUCUAAUGACUUUCAAAAUUUCUACUUAAAACAAGUAGUAUUUAUCUCUAGGAUUCCAAAAACUCAAAAAUCAUAAGAAAAGGGGCUAAAUUGACUUACUAAAUUAACUUGGAACCUUUAAAACCUUAUUUUUCCCUUUUUCUUUUCUUCCUUUCUCCCUUAUCUGUUUCGUCCCCUGCUAUUCUG
This 2254-nucleotide long non-coding RNA is filed under the name Gossypium barbadense (sea-island cotton). Its description in RNAcentral is "long non-coding RNA (GBAR_LNC002920)". Lineage: Eukaryota; Viridiplantae; Streptophyta; Magnoliopsida; Malvales; Malvaceae. The record is from RNAcentral.